RNAcentral lists this small RNA (50 nucleotides) under Arabidopsis thaliana (thale cress). RNAcentral's name for it is "ATSL091060". The record is from RNAcentral. Lineage: Eukaryota; Viridiplantae; Streptophyta; Magnoliopsida; Brassicales; Brassicaceae.
UUACCUUUAUGCAGUUUGCUAUCUUCUCCGACUUCAAAUGCCUGACAUUA